RNAcentral lists this transfer RNA (64 nucleotides) under Ochthebius sp. IBE<ESP> AN76. RNAcentral's name for it is "tRNA-Asn". Lineage: Eukaryota; Metazoa; Arthropoda; Insecta; Coleoptera; Hydraenidae. The record is from RNAcentral.
UUAAUUGAAACCAAAAAGAGGUAUAUUACUGUUAAUAAUAUUAAUGAGUUAAACUCCAAUUAAA